RNAcentral lists this unclassified non-coding RNA (404 nucleotides) under fungal sp. Its description in RNAcentral is "partial internal transcribed spacer region". The stretch from base 1 to 46 matches the Rfam family "Eukaryotic small subunit ribosomal RNA", at positions 1786 to 1831 of the family's 1831-position model. The record is from RNAcentral. Lineage: Eukaryota; Fungi.
AAGUCGUAACAAGGUUUCCGUAGGUGAACCUGCGGAAGGAUCAUUACAACGUAUCCACGUACAAACCAGUGAACUGUUCCCAACAGAGUGUCGCGGUGCAAGCGAUUUUUUCGCCUGCAUUCCUGGGCUAAUGGCUUCCAAAACCCUGCUGAUGGAGUUUCUUGACCUUUGUCUCGAAACUAGGGUUUGGUCGCCGCCAAAGCGUUCUCGCUUCGGGGCCUGCGCGCCUCUGUUCGGUUGUUUACCAUCGGCUGGUGAAACCCUUAUUAACCCUAUGCAACCUUUGAUCUGAUCUAUUCUGUCUGAUGCGCUCAAGUCCUUGCUGGCUUCGGUCACGGACUUUGCGUCGGCGGAAAAUCGUAUGAAACUGAGAACAACUCUUAACAACGGAUAUCUUGGUUCCC